GUCGUAACAAGGUCUCCGUUGGUGAACCAGCGGAGGGAUCAUUACCGAGUUUACAACUCCCAAACCCCUGUGAACAUACCUUAUGUUGCCUCGGCGGAUCAGCCCGCGCCCCGUAAAAAGGGACGGCCCGCCGCAGGAACCCUAAACUCUGUUUUUAGUGGAACUUCUGAGUAUAAAAAACAAAUAAAUCAAAACUUUCAACAACGGAUCUCUUGGUUCUGGCAUCGAUGAAGAACGCAGCAAAAUGCGAUAAGUAAUGUGAAUUGCAGAAUUCAGUGAAUCAUCGAAUCUUUGAACGCACAUUGCGCCCGCCAGUAUUCUGGCGGGCAUGCCUGUUCGAGCGUCAUUUCAACCCUCAAGCCCAGCUUGGUGUUGGGAGCUGCAGUCCUGCUGCACUCCCCAAAUACAUUGGCGGUCACGUCGAGCUUCCAUAGCGUAGUAAUUUACAUAUCGUUACUGGUAAUCGUCGCGGCCACGCCGUUAAACCCCAACUUCUGAAUGUUGACCUCGGAUCAGGUAGGAAUACCCGCUGAACUUAAGCAUAUCAAUAAGC
Molecule: ribosomal RNA, 553 nt
Filed under: Fusarium culmorum
Lineage: Eukaryota; Fungi; Ascomycota; Sordariomycetes; Hypocreales; Nectriaceae
Description: eukaryotic LSU rRNA
Rfam family: 5.8S ribosomal RNA (bases 193-346)
Source: RNAcentral